This 441-nucleotide ribosomal RNA is filed under the name uncultured bacterium. RNAcentral's name for it is "bacterial SSU rRNA". It matches the Rfam family "Bacterial small subunit ribosomal RNA", at positions 355 to 787 of the family's 1533-position model. The record is from RNAcentral.
UGGGGAAUCUUCCGCAAUGGGCGAAAGCCUGACGGAGCAAUGCCGCGUGAGUGAAGAAGGCCUUCGGGUUGUAAAACUCUGUCCUUAUCGAAGAGAGGUAGGUAUGUGAAUAAUGUACCUAUAGGACGGUAGAUAAGGAGGAAGCCCCGGCUAACUACGUGCCAGCAGCCGCGGUAAUACGUAGGGGGCGAGCGUUGUCCGGAAUCACUGGGCGUAAAGGGCGCGUAGGCGGUUUAAUAAGUCAGUGGUGAAAACUGAGGGCUCAACCCUCAGCCUGCCACUGAUACUGUUAGACUUGAGUAUGGAAGAGGAGAAUGGAAUUCCUAGUGUAGCGGUGAAAUGCGUAGAUAUUAGGAGGAACACCAGUGGCGAAGGCGAUUCUCUGGGCCAAGACUGACGCUGAGGCGCGAAAGCGUGGGGAGCAAACAGGAUUAGAUACCC